AGAGUUUGAUCAUGGCUCAAGAUGAACGCUAGCGACAGGCUUAACACAUGCAAGUCGAGGGGCAGCGGGGGAGCAGCAAUGCUCCUGCCGGCGACCGGCGCACGGGUGAGUAACACGUAUGGAACCUGCCCGCAGCAGGGGGAUAAGCGGAAGAAAUUCCGUCUAAUACCGCGUAACACCGCGGAGGGGCAUCCCUCGGCGGUUAAAGAUUCAUCGGCUGCGGAUGGCCAUGCGGCGCAUUAGCUAGUCGGCGGGGUAACGGCCCACCGAGGCGACGAUGCGUAAGGGUUCUGAGAGGAAGGUCCCCCACACUGGUACUGAGACACGGACCAGACUCCUACGGGAGGCAGCAGUGAGGAAUAUUGGUCAAUGGCCGGGAGGCUGAACCAGCCAAGUCGCGUGAGGGAAGACAGCCCUACGGGUUGUAAACCUCUUUUGUCAAGGAGCAAGAAGCGGGUCGGGACCUGCUGUGAGAGUACCUGAAGAAAAAGCAUCGGCUAACUCCAUGCCAACAGCCGCGGUA
RNAcentral lists this ribosomal RNA (523 nucleotides) under uncultured bacterium. RNAcentral describes it as "bacterial SSU rRNA". It matches the Rfam family "Bacterial small subunit ribosomal RNA", at positions 8 to 522 of the family's 1533-position model. The record is from RNAcentral.